This 253-nucleotide ribosomal RNA is filed under the name uncultured bacterium. RNAcentral describes it as "partial 16S ribosomal RNA". It matches the Rfam family "Bacterial small subunit ribosomal RNA", at positions 524 to 776 of the family's 1533-position model. The record is from RNAcentral.
UACGUAGGGUGCGAGCGUUAAUCGGAAUUACUGGGCGUAAAGCGUGCGCAGGCGGUUCGUUGUGUCUGAUGUGAAAGCCCCGGGCUCAACCUGGGAAUGGCAUUGGAAGCUGGCGAGCUAGAGUGUGGCAGAGGGGGGUGGAAUUCCGCGUGUAGCAGUGAAAUGCGUAGAUAUGCGGAGGAACACCGAUGGCGAAGGCAAUCCCCUGGGCCUGCACUGACGCUCAUGCACGAAAGCGUGGGGAGCAAACAGG